AUGCAUGUUAUCUACUUGCUUGAUGUCACCGCUUUCGCAUUUUUUUUUUGGUUUCGUUUACCGGCUUGUCUCCACAUGCAUGUCCAUGCUUUUUUUGCGUUUAUCAUGUCAGAAGUUCCUGACCAACUCCCAGCACGAAUUCCGGAGAUGUUCUAGCAUCUGCCGCCACUCUAGCUUGUCCUGACGUUUCUUGAAAAAAAGAGAAAAAGAAAUUACCAACGUUAGAACAACUGUCUUCCAAACGGUGAUGCAGAACAGAGUGCGGAACAAUCGAUAGAGUUCUUGCUGGGAGUCUUGGAGAAGGAAUCGCAGAAUCCCAGCAGGAAUUCGGGCUGUUCCGGUCCUGUCUGUGAAAGAAACAAACCUGAUGUGAACAAACCAUUGUCAGUUAUGCGACCAAAAGCCCACAUCAAAAAACGUCUCUCUCUACCUUUCUGGACUGAAGGUGAACAAUGACUUGAAUUGAAUGAUCGGAACAGCCCGAGUCCAUAUUCUGUCUGAUUGCAUAAGGUCAACAUAGGAAGAUAGAAGCUUGGCCAAGCAGACAGAAUAUAACCACUUUACAUAUGUCCGGUAUGAAUAUCUGUAACUCCCUGGAUGACGAGAUUUUGGAGAAAAUUACGAAAUAAAGGCCCAGUCGCUGAUAAAAAGUAGUAGAUGCUACCUGAAACGUUUGGCCGUUUACAAAACCUAUCCAGUCGCUUGUGUAGAUUUUGUAUUAAUUAGCUUAAUUUUUGUACUUAUUGGCUGAAGCCUCGAGGUGUAGCUUUUAUUGAAGAACCAAACAUUUCAUUUCCAUAACACGGCCAACAUUAAAUUCUAAUACAAACCAAAUCAGACUGAGCUCAAUAACGCUCUUUGUAUCAUUUCCUCAAAAUGAGUAUAAAUUAGAGUGCCUGCCUAAAUCCCAACAUUCUGCAUUAAACCUGUCUGGAUAUGAAUACAGGACAUUGGACAGAUAUUCUUACCAGGACUUGUACUGGGACCAUUCUUAGUUUACAAGUUUACGCUUUUGCUUUUAUUCUAUAACCCAAAAGUUGUCUUAGACGGCAUCAAGAGUACAGAGUAGUUAGAAUGAUAGCUAGGGCUUGUGGUAAAACACAUGUUGGUAGGACAUUAGAGAAUCCAGUACAGUCCAAUCAGGUAGCAAUCAAGAAAAUAGAAAUCUCCUUGGCUGAAUUCUCGCUGGGAUUCUGUUGGUGGCGAGAUCAUGACGUACUCGUGACGUACUCAUGACGUACUCGUGGCGUGCUCGUGACGUGGUCGUGGCGUGCUCGUGAUCACUUUUAGAAGGAAAGUGUCUUUCCCGCCCCGGAUGGUCACGUGCUGUGCUACUACUGACGUGACAACAUUGCGGUUCUAAACGUAUACUACGAGGCUUUAAACUACGAGUCGAUCGUACAGAUCCCAGCCAUCGAGACAGAGGGGUUAUUAGGUGACCUUGGCGGGCAGAUGGGACUUUUUCUGGGCGCGA
Molecule: long non-coding RNA, 1474 nt
Organism: Branchiostoma floridae (Florida lancelet)
Lineage: Eukaryota; Metazoa; Chordata; Leptocardii; Amphioxiformes; Branchiostomatidae
Exons: 3
Source: RefSeq, a predicted model, not a curated record